Molecule: transfer RNA, 76 nt
Filed under: TM7 phylum sp. oral taxon 346
Lineage: Bacteria; Candidatus Saccharimonadota
Also listed under: 11 other names
Description: tRNA-Phe
Rfam family: tRNA
About the family: Transfer RNA (tRNA) molecules are approximately 80 nucleotides in length. Their secondary structure includes four short double-helical elements and three loops (D, anti-codon, and T loops).
Source: RNAcentral
GGCUCUUUAGCUCAGUUGGUAGAGCAGAGGCCUGAAGAGCCUUGUGUCACUAGUUCGAGUCUAGUAGGAGCCACCA